GCCACCGUAGCUCAACGGUAGAGCACGUCAUUCGUAAUGACGGGGUUGUGGGUUCGAUUCCCACCGGUGGCU
Molecule: transfer RNA, 72 nt
Filed under: Gemmatimonadota bacterium
Lineage: Bacteria; Pseudomonadati; Gemmatimonadota
Also listed under: 1 other name
Description: Gemmatimonadetes bacterium (marine sediment metagenome) tRNA-Thr
Rfam family: tRNA
About the family: Transfer RNA (tRNA) molecules are approximately 80 nucleotides in length.
Source: RNAcentral